GACGAACGCUGGCGGCGUGCCUAAUACAUGCAAGUUGAGCGAUGAAGAUUGGUGCUUGCACCAAUUUGAAGAGCAGCGAACGGGUGAGUAACGCGUGGGGAAUCUGCCUUUGAGCGGGGGACAACAUUUGGAAACGAAUGCUAAUACCGCAUAACAACUUUAAACAUAAGUUUUAAGUUUGAAAGAUGCAAUUGCAUCACUCAAAGAUGAUCCCGCGUUGUAUUAGCUAGUUGGUGAGGUAAAGGCUCACCAAGGCGAUGAUACAUAGCCGACCUGAGAGGGUGGUCGGCCACAUUUGGACUGAGACACGGCCCAAACUCCUACGGGAGGCAGCAGUAGGGAAUUCUCGGCAAUGGACGAAAGUCUGACCGAGCAACGCCGCGUGAGUGAAGAAGGUUUUCGGAUCGUAAAACUCUGUUGGUAGAGAAGAACGUUGGUGAGAGUGGAAAGCUCAUCAAGUGACGGUAACUACCCAGAAAGGGACGGCUAACUACGUG
RNAcentral lists this ribosomal RNA (497 nucleotides) under uncultured bacterium. Its description in RNAcentral is "partial 16S ribosomal RNA". It matches the Rfam family "Bacterial small subunit ribosomal RNA", at positions 28 to 507 of the family's 1533-position model. The record is from RNAcentral.